CAGCAGGCACAGAGCGGCGCCCGGCUAGCAGGAGCAGCCGCAGCGGCAACAGGCGCGCCUCAGCUCCGCGGGGAAAGAGACUGAAUUUACUGGCACACAUCAAAGAAGCAGCUUUCUGUCUGCCCAGCCAAAGUGGGACUCAGACUUUGGCAUUCAUUCUCAGGACUGGAAAGGCUCCAUUCUGCAUUUUAAACACUAGCUGAUCCAAAGAAAGGGCCGGAAGUCUUCUGAGGCAGACUUGUGCUGUCUCCUGCUGUGGCCUUCGCUCAACACCCCCCCCCC
Molecule: long non-coding RNA, 282 nt
Organism: Gekko japonicus
Lineage: Eukaryota; Metazoa; Chordata; Lepidosauria; Squamata; Gekkonidae
Exons: 3
Source: RefSeq, a predicted model, not a curated record